Non-coding RNA from Oryza sativa Japonica Group (Japanese rice), 491 nucleotides. The record is from RefSeq and is a predicted model, not a curated record. NCBI's taxonomy places the organism in Eukaryota, Viridiplantae, Streptophyta, Magnoliopsida, Poales, Poaceae.
CCUUCUUCACCCCCUUGCUCUCUAGCUUUCCCAGCCAUCCCUCCUCACUCUGUAGUCCACCCUAGAUCCAAGAAACCAGAGUGGGAGAGCUCCUUCUUGCUCUCCUCGCCAUCAUCUUCUUGCCUGCCGCCGGGAUGAUGCCAUCACCGCCGCCCAACGGCCGAUCUCUGGGAACGCCGACCUCGCCACGGGAGCUCUGGAGCGCGGCUACACCGUCGUCAACGCGCAGCCGCGGGUUCGCGCAGCUGUUCCCGUCGCCUCGAGGCGAAUCCGGCUGAGCUGCUGCUCCACCAGCUUCGCCUCACCAUCCUCUCCAAACGCCCCAAGAAUCCCUCAGAACCGUGCAGCGAGGAGGGAGAUCGACCACCGUCUUCUCCAACUCCGAUCUAGCGCCUCCGUCGUCGAUUCCCAUUCAACCGAUUCGGAGAAUUCGGAGUUCGUGGAGCGAGACUCUGAGGUUGAGUGUGUUUCCACACAGCAGCAAGGCAAGC